AUGCUGGGAAGGCAGGAUGAGGAGGGACGUUUGCAUUCAUCCAUGCUCCUCCUCCUGGCCUGUCCUUUGUCCUGCCUUCCCCUAGCACAUGCAGCGCUCAAAGCUUUCUUGGAGACUCAGCUUGAACAACAUCUUUUCAGUGAUGUGAACCUGCUCUUCCUGAUUGAAGGUACCAGCGUGCUCCUGAGCGGCUGUGAGCGACGUCGGCUCCCGACGAGGAGGGGCUGUGACUCAGCGCUGCAACUGCCAGAGCUGCGCCGAGAGCUAAGCCGAGCGGACGGGAGGUGCGUCUCCCCGCAAAACCCCGCGUCAAAAAACGCCUACCAAAUGCUUUCUCGUUUGGACCCAGACUCCAGUUCCGGAGCAGUCUGGUAGCCGGAUCCCCUAGGAGGAGAAGUAGUAAAGCGGUAAGAAGAAAGCAUUUCAGUUUGGAACACCUAACUUGCACCUG
RNAcentral lists this long non-coding RNA (451 nucleotides) under Canis lupus familiaris (dog). RNAcentral describes it as "lncRNA (ENSCAFG00030019060.1)". Lineage: Eukaryota; Metazoa; Chordata; Mammalia; Carnivora; Canidae. The record is from RNAcentral.